CAACCCUCAAGCUUAGCUUGGUAUUGGUUGUCACCUAGUUAGGUGCUCCUUAAAAUCAUUGGCAGUGCCAUCUAGCUUCAAGCGUAGUAAAUUUUCUCGCUUUGGAAGUUUUAGAUAUGUGCUUGCCAUCAACACCCUAUUCUUCAAU
This 148-nucleotide unclassified non-coding RNA is filed under the name uncultured Ascomycota. RNAcentral's name for it is "sequence contains ITS2". Lineage: Eukaryota; Fungi; Ascomycota. The record is from RNAcentral.